RNAcentral lists this non-coding RNA (45 nucleotides) under Schistosoma mattheei. Lineage: Eukaryota; Metazoa; Platyhelminthes; Trematoda; Strigeidida; Schistosomatidae. The record is from RNAcentral.
AUCCCCCUGACGAGUCCAAAAUAAGACGAAACGAGUGUCAUGGAU